UGGGGAAUCUUGCGCAAUGGGCGAAAGCCUGACGCAGCAACGCCGCGUGCGGGAUGAAGGCCUUAGGGUUGUAAACCGCUUUCAGUAGGAACGAAAUUGACGGUACCUGCAGAAGAAGGUGCGGCCAACUACGUGCCAGCAGCCGCGGUGACACGUAGGCACCAAGCGUUGUCCGGAUUUAUUGGGCGUAAAGAGCUCGUAGGCGGUUGAGUAAGUCGGGUGUGAAAACUCUGGGCUUAACCCAGAGCCGCCAUUCGAUACUGCUCUGACUUGAGUUCGGUAGGGGAGCAGGGAAUUCCUAGUGUAGCGGUGAAAUGCGCAGAUAUUAGGAGGAACACCGGUGGCGAAGGCGCUGCUCUGGGCCGAAACUGACGCUGAGGAGCGAAAGCGUGGGUAGCAAACA
Molecule: ribosomal RNA, 403 nt
Filed under: uncultured bacterium
Lineage: Bacteria
Description: bacterial SSU rRNA
Rfam family: Bacterial small subunit ribosomal RNA
Source: RNAcentral